RNAcentral lists this ribosomal RNA (253 nucleotides) under uncultured bacterium. RNAcentral describes it as "partial 16S ribosomal RNA". It matches the Rfam family "Bacterial small subunit ribosomal RNA", at positions 524 to 776 of the family's 1533-position model. The record is from RNAcentral.
UACGUAGGGACCAAGCGUUGUUCGGAUUUACUGGGCGUAAAGGGCGCGUAGGCGGCUUGUCAAGUCACUUGUGAAAUCUCUGAGCUUAACUCAGAACGGCCAAGUGAUACUGCAGUGCUAGAGUGUGGAAGGGGCAAUCGGAAUUCUUGGUGUAGCGGUGAAAUGCGUAGAUAUCAAGAGGAACACCUGAGGUGAAGACGGGUUGCUGGGCCAACACUGACGCUGAGGCGCGAAAGCCAGGGGAGCAAACGGG